RNAcentral lists this ribosomal RNA (253 nucleotides) under uncultured bacterium. RNAcentral describes it as "partial 16S ribosomal RNA". It matches the Rfam family "Bacterial small subunit ribosomal RNA", at positions 524 to 776 of the family's 1533-position model. The record is from RNAcentral.
GACAGAGGUGCCGAGCGUUAGGCGGAAUCACUGGGCUUAAAGCGUGUGUAGGCGGAUCGUUAAGUGCCUUGUGAAAUCCCACGGCUCAACCGUCGAACUGCUUGGCAUACUGGCGAUCUUGAGCCACUUAGGGGCUACCGGAACAAAUGGUGGAGCGGUGAAAUGCGUAGAUAUCAUUUGGAACGCCAAUGGUGAAAACAGGUAGCUGGGAGUGUGCUGACGCUGAGACACGAAAGCCAGGGGAGCAAACGGG